UUGGCUCAGGACGAACGCUGGCGGCGCGCCUAACACAUGCAAGUCGAACGGCACCCCUCUCCGGAGGGAAGCGAGUGGCGAACGGCUGAGUAACACGUGGAGAACCUGCCCCCUCCCCCGGGAUAGCCGCCCGAAAGGACGGGUAAUACCGGAUACCCCGGGGUGCCGCAUGGCACCCCGGCUAAAGCCCCGACGGGAGGGGAUGGCUCCGCGGCCCAUCAGGUAGACGGCGGGGUGACGGCCCACCGUGCCGACAACGGGUAGUUUUU
This 269-nucleotide ribosomal RNA is filed under the name Coriobacterium sp. SG1214. Its description in RNAcentral is "partial 16S ribosomal RNA". It matches the Rfam family "Bacterial small subunit ribosomal RNA", at positions 19 to 291 of the family's 1533-position model. The record is from RNAcentral. Lineage: Bacteria; Bacillati; Actinomycetota; Coriobacteriia; Coriobacteriales; Coriobacteriaceae.